CGUGGAAGGGAGGCUAGCCGGCCAGAGCAGCAGGAGCAAGGAGGCGGGGUCGGCCGUGGCAACUGGAACAGCUGCUGGUCAGCCUGACACACCGCCUCAGCCAUGUCUCCUCUGAUGCAGCCCGGACGCUCAAGAGAGGUAGUUGUGCCGUCACUGGUGGCGAGUUCAGCGGCCGCCUCCUCCUCUUCUUUUCGAACCCAGCCCUCUCUUGAGUGUGUCGUGCCCUCAACUACGGUAAAGCACCAGGUCCACGUGAGCUCCUCCUUCAACCCGCAUAUGUGAUUUCUUCCUUUUCCAUGAAUGCACACAUCUAAAGCGUUUUUUUGGGUUCCCUCAUCUAAAUGUCUUCUGAAGUGUGCAGAUUGUUAUUCAUUAUCAGGGAGGACAAUAUUCUUUUCAAGGACUCAUUAGUCCCAGAAUAUUUAGCUGGUAAGAUACAUAUUUUAUGAUUCAUCCAUCUCUCCAAUUCUGACCUUACAUAUCAACCUGUCUCCAUGUACCCUUCUAUAUCUGGUGCUGCUACUUUUUUUUCUUACAUGGAUAUAUGUAUGAGAUUUCUUUGUUUAGGUAUAUUUGUGCCUGAAAGAAGUUUACAUCUAUUUUCUUGUUAGAUGAGCCUGAAUGAGAAUACUUAUGAGAUCACAUGAAUGUGAUGUUGACGCCCUGUAUGCUCCAAAAUUGUAUCAUUCUUCCCACACAAUGGUUAGAAUCCCAGUUGUUGAAUCACAAUAGACAAGACCAUAUUUCACAUUUUGUAUAGUCCAACCAAUAAUACAUAUGGAGCCUGGUGAUGGUUAUUGAUAUAUUGUGAUAGUAGUUUCCUGCACUAAUUAGUUAAUGAGCCACCCUUUCGUUUUCAACUCAAAGUGCUGCAACAGUUAAAUAGAUGUGUUCGUGCCAUUUAGCCCCAAAAUUCAGUUCAGUUCGGUUGUACAUCUAUUGCCGACCCCUUUUCUUAGUACUGAUUGACCUUUAUGUGUUAAUAUUUUUAUUGACUUCAUUUUUUCCUUUAGUCCUUCCUCUUGGUGUAUAAUCCUGAUUGUGUGAGUUCCUUUCCUGGUAGGUAUUUAUGACUCAGACCAUUCCAUAACAAAAUGCAUAUAUGGCCUCAUGCAUGUUUAUUGCUUGCCUGUGUAUCGUUGUGUUCUUAUCGGUUGUUUUCUGUGCGUUUCGUAGGAUGUGCGAUCUCUUCUGCCGCUACGUCUCUGUUCGACUCGCCAAGGUUUGUUGUUCUCCUUUUUACAUGUGUGUGUGUUUUACUUUCACUAUCUGCUAUAUCAUGCUAUCUGCCUUCAUGAUCGUUUAAAUAUUAUUAUGGUGUUUGCCAUGCUGAUCGUUUAAAUAUUUCGGAUACGGCAGGGCAUUGUGUGUUGUUCGUUCUCUUGCUACUUACAGUUCGUGUAUGCGUGUGAGCAGGAUCUAUGCACUUGUUUCCGUUGUUAUACUUGUUUUGGAGACUGAGGUAGCUCGGUGUGCUUUGCCGUCGCUUUCGUGUCUGUGUGAGGUUGUAGACGACGGUUCUGUUCUUGCUGGUGUAGAACUCGAGCUCCCAGGGGACGGUUCUGCUCCAGUGCCACAAAGAGAUUUUUUCCGAGCUCGGCUUGGUGUGGUUUUAUGAAUGGCUAUGAGCAGGCUGCUCUACAGGUCUUGCGUAUUUUGCAAGGUUUAUAUGGACUUUUCGUUCAUGACAAUAAUUAUGAAUGUAUGAUGGCCUAUAGGAGAUCUUUCUGUUCAAGAACAUUGCGGUUUCUUUGAUUCCUACUAUGCUAUUUACUCAGUCUGCAGGCUAGCAUAUUAUUUAGAUUCUUUCUAACUAACUUACUUCGAAGCUCGGUACUGGUCUCCUUCAAGCUACAACCCCAAGGCGAGCUCUGGUGGUCAAGCUGAUGCUUCUUCGCCUCCUGUUGAAGAAAAGGAUGAUAAGGAUGUCGAGGCUCGAGUGACCAGGAACAAGUGGUGCUGCUUUUUAUGCUGUCCAUCUAUAUAUGCAUCCCUUCAGUUUGUACAGACAAAACAAAUAUUCAUUUCUGACUAGAACUAAACUUGCAGUUAAGAAACUCUGCUGCUGGAAAGGGAGCUGGGGUACUAAACAGAAUAUAGUUUGAGCCUGCCAGUUCUUUUUAAUCCUAUGGCAUGUAUUUUUGCAGCAAUCGUCUUUUAUGUCUGGUUCCCAAAGUUAUUAGUUAGCCUGCCUAUUUCUCGCCGUUUGAUAACCUAUAUUAUAACUAUAGAGAAUAUAGUUUGAGCCUCCAGUUCUUCUGCCUUGGAUAUGAGAUAAUGAGGCAGUUUUAAUAUUGUCGUAGAUUCACAUGAGUUUAUUUUAAACUACUGGAUGCAUCAUUGACGGAGAAAUACCUUACAGAAUGAUGCUGAGCCCCGUCUGGAAUGGAACCUUUUUGGAGCUGCUUAUGCUUGGUGCGGAGCGGGAAGCCUAUGAUAGCAACAGUAUUGGACUCCAUAGAACUGGAACUCUAUACCUUUCUUAUGUAGCUCUUCCUUUUGUUGUCUUCCCUAGAAGGGGCUGAUGUAGUUUUUCUGAAUUACAUGUCUCCGCUUUGUUCUACGGCAGAUGCUUCUACUCUGGAAUGGUAGCAACAAUACUGGACUCCACUGAGAACUGGAACUCUAUACCUUUCUUGUGUAGCUCUUCCUUUCGUAGUCUUUGCUGGAAGGUGCAGAUGUAGUUUUCCAUUUGUUUUUGAAAGUGCAACUAUCCCUAGGUGGUUUUGGUAAUUCAUAACAACAUAUAGCUCAUUGAGCUAAUGCUAUUCCAAGACUAUUAUUUCAGGAAAGCUCAA
Triticum aestivum (bread wheat) is the source of this 2798-nucleotide long non-coding RNA. RefSeq lists it as uncharacterized. The transcript is spliced from 2 exons. The record is from RefSeq and is a predicted model, not a curated record. NCBI's taxonomy places the organism in Eukaryota, Viridiplantae, Streptophyta, Magnoliopsida, Poales, Poaceae.